Molecule: long non-coding RNA, 877 nt
Organism: Lagenorhynchus albirostris (white-beaked dolphin)
Lineage: Eukaryota; Metazoa; Chordata; Mammalia; Artiodactyla; Delphinidae
Exons: 3
Source: RefSeq, a predicted model, not a curated record
CUCUAAACCAGGCAUCUACAAAUAUCUUCAAGUCUUUUAGAGCAAGAACUUUCUGUAAGGAGGAGACCUAAAAUUGUGACACUAUCAAAACUGCUACAACCUGGAGUAAUACACCAAAAAGAAAAAUUGUUUCUUCUGUAGAUUUAUUUUCAGAUAUAAUGGACUUGCAUAGUACAUUUAAAGUGAAUUUCAGAUGAGAGGCUGUGGGCCAGGCAAAGGCUCCACCCAGCCCAGGUGGCCUUACAUCAGAGUAAAGUGGCAAACUGUCAUCUGGGUGCUCUUUGGAGUGACCGAGGACAGACAGGAAAGAUUUCUUUGGGUCUAAAAGAUCAGGAGGUCCAGGGUCCAUGUCCAGGUGGCCACCAGCAGCUCCAGGCUCAGAUCCCCCAGGGUGCACACCCAGCAGAAGGAGCUCUUCCUGAACAAUAGUUCCAGAGACUGAUUUUUCACCCGGCUGAUGGAAACAAACGGCCAAGCCUGCAUCGGUCACAGUACCAGCAGGACCACGCUCCCUCUGCCUGCCAGCCCUGGAGCUGGACUGCCCGGAGGAGGUGGAGAGGCGCGGCGGGGGAUCAAAGCACAGGGAGGCACGGGCGCGGGAGGGACACUGUGGCCAGAGGUAGGCGGAGGGAGUGACGGACAGGCUGAAACACCUGCCGCCUGUGAAACCAAACUAAGCCUGCUGGGUUCCUUCCGACGGGCAUCGGGGUCCCCGACCCACAGGCAAGAGACGAAUCCCAGUGGGGACAGUGAUGGAGGCGGCAGCAUGGGAGACAAAGACCCCUACCUGGACGAGGUUGUAUUAAUUCAGGUAACAUACUACUGUUACUGAAAUCAAAAUAGUGUCGCUACAAAUAAAGAACACGGUGAAUUUGAA